This is a long non-coding RNA of Cygnus atratus (black swan), 180 nucleotides long. RefSeq lists it as uncharacterized. The record is from RefSeq and is a predicted model, not a curated record. Lineage: Eukaryota; Metazoa; Chordata; Aves; Anseriformes; Anatidae. The transcript has 3 exons.
ACACCUAAAGACACGCCUAUGACCACAAGGAAAGCGAUGCUUCAGUCAAACCAGUUCUUUGCUGUGUACUGCCAAAAUACAACGAUACGGAUCCUUCGGUUAUGCACCCUGGUAUCUUCCUGGGCUGCUGGCUUCAGUUGCAGAUUCUUUAGGCAGUUUGCGUGUCUGUUUUCCCUAGAG